GAAUGAGAUGAUGAUGUUAUCGCUUCCCUAUUGGUUUGAUUGCCAAUAUGAUGGCAAUACUGGCAUGCUCUGGCUGAUCAUUC
This 83-nucleotide small nucleolar RNA is filed under the name Nelumbo nucifera (sacred lotus). Its description in RNAcentral is "Small nucleolar RNA Z102/R77". It matches the Rfam family "Small nucleolar RNA Z102/R77". From Rfam's summary of the family: Z102 and R77 and are members of the C/D class of snoRNA which contain the C (UGAUGA) and D (CUGA) box motifs. Most of the members of the box C/D family function in directing site-specific 2'-O-methylation of substrate RNAs. Lineage: Eukaryota; Viridiplantae; Streptophyta; Magnoliopsida; Proteales; Nelumbonaceae. The record is from Rfam by way of RNAcentral.